GCCCUUAGAGUUUGAUCCUGGCUCAGGAUGAACGCUAGCUACAGGCUUAACACAUGCAAGUCGAGGGGAAACGAUAGAGAAAGCUUGCUUUUUCUAGGCGUCGACCGGCGCACGGGUGAGUAACGCGUAUCCAACCUGCCCACCACUUGGGGAUAACCUUGCGAAAGUAAGACUAAUACCCAAUGACGUCUCUAGAAGACAUCUGAAAGAGAUUAAAGAUUUAUCGGUGAUGGAUGGGGAUGCGUCUGAUUAGCUUGUUGGCGGGGUAACGGCCCACCAAGGCGACGAUCAGUAGGGGUUCUGAGAGGAAGGUCCCCCACAUUGGAACUGAGACACGGUCCAAACUCCUACGGGAGGCAGCAGUGAGGAAUAUUGGUCAAUGGGCGAGAGCCUGAACCAGCCAAGUAGCGUGCAGGAUGACGGCCCUAUGGGUUGUAAACUGCUUUUAUAAGGGAAUAAAGUGGGAGUCGUGACUCCUUUUGCAUGUACCUUAUGAAUAAGGACCGGCUAAUUCCGUGCCAGCAGCCGCGGUAAUACGGAAGGUCCGGGCGUUAUCCGGAUUUAUUGGGUUUAAAGGGAGCGUAGGCCGGAGAUUAAGCGUGUUGUGAAAUGUAGACGCUCAACGUCUGCACUGCAGCGCGAACUGGUUUCCUUGAGUACGCACAAAGUGGGCGGAAUUCGUGGUGUAGCGGUGAAAUGCUUAGAUAUCACGAAGAACUCCGAUUGCGAAGGCAGCUCACUGGAGCGCAACUGACGCUGAAGCUCGAAAGUGCGGGUAUCGAACAGGAUUAGAUACCCUGGUAGUCCGCACGGUAAACGAUGGAUGCCCGCUGUUGGUCUGAAUAGGUCAGCGGCCAAGCGAAAGCAUUAAGCAUCCCACCUGGGGAGUACGCCGGCAACGGUGAAACUCA
RNAcentral lists this ribosomal RNA (911 nucleotides) under uncultured bacterium. RNAcentral's name for it is "bacterial SSU rRNA". It matches the Rfam family "Bacterial small subunit ribosomal RNA", at positions 1 to 903 of the family's 1533-position model. The record is from RNAcentral.